CAGUCGCCACGGUAAUACGUAGGGUGCAAGCGUUAAUCGGAAUUACUGGGCGUAAAGCGUGCGCAGGCGGUUUGUUAAGACAGAUGUGAAAUCCCCGGGCUCAACCUGGGAACUGCAUUUGUGACUGGCAAGCUAGAGUAUGGCAGAGGGGGGUGGAAUUCCGCGUGUAGCAGUGAAAUGCGUAGAUAUGCGGAGGAACACCGAUGGCGAAGGCAGCCCCCUGGGCCAAUACUGACGCUCAUGCACGAAAGCGUGGGGAGCAAACAGGAUUAGAGACCCCAGUAGUCCCUGUCUCUUAUAC
Molecule: ribosomal RNA, 301 nt
Filed under: uncultured bacterium
Lineage: Bacteria
Description: partial 16S ribosomal RNA
Rfam family: Bacterial small subunit ribosomal RNA
Source: RNAcentral